This is a non-coding RNA of Galeopterus variegatus (Sunda flying lemur), 75 nucleotides long. The record is from the annotation of a RefSeq genome assembly. Lineage: Eukaryota; Metazoa; Chordata; Mammalia; Dermoptera; Cynocephalidae.
GGCCGGUUAGCUCAGUUGGUUAGAGUGUGGUGCUGGUAACGCCAACAUCAAGGGUUCGGAUCCCCGUACCAGCCA